GCAGUCUUACGGCUUAAUAUUAAAGCAUGGAAUGAUAAAUAAUGACAUCGGUUAAUUUUUGUUGGUUUGAGAGGCUGAUGUAAUGAUUUAUAGAGUUAGUCGGAGGUAUUAGUAUUUUGUCGUUAGAAGUGAAAUUCCGGGAUCGACAAAAGACUAACAACUGCGAAAGUAUUUGCCUAGAAUUUGCUCCUUGAUCAAGAACGUAAGUUGGGGGAUCGAAGACGAUCAGAUACCGUCGUAGUCUCAACUUUAAACUAUAUCAGCUAGGGGUUGGCAAAUGUUUAUAUGACUUUGUUAGAACCUUAUGAGAAAUCAAAGCGUUUGGGUUCCGGGGGGAGUAUGGUCGCAAGGCUGAAACUUAAAGGAAUUGACGGAAGGGCACCACAAGAUGUGGAUCCUGUGGCUUAAUUUGACUCAACACUGGAAAACUCACCAGGUCCAGACAUAGGUAGGAUUGACAGAUUGAUAGCUUUUUCUUGAUUCUAUGGGUGGUGGUGCAUGGUCGUUCUUAGUUGGUGGAGUGAUUUGUCUGGUUAAUUCCGUUAACGAACGAGACUAUCACUUACUAAAUAGUACAUUUUUUUAAAUAGAAUAUUUGCUUCUUAGAGGGACUGGUUUUGUAUAAAUUGCUGGAAGUUGGUAGCAAUAACAGGUCUGUGAUGCCCUUAGAUGUUCUGGGCAGCGCACGGGCUACAAUAGAAGAGUAAGUGAGUUUGUUCGACUUAGCUCGAAAAGGGCUGUGGAAUCUUAAAUUUUUUUUUUAUAUGGAAUUACGCUUUGAAAUUUUAACGUGUAAACUAGGAAUACCUAGUAAGUGUAUGUCAUCAACGUGCAU
RNAcentral lists this ribosomal RNA (835 nucleotides) under Procyttarium primordialis. RNAcentral describes it as "SSU rRNA". It matches the Rfam family "Eukaryotic small subunit ribosomal RNA", at positions 780 to 1641 of the family's 1831-position model. Lineage: Eukaryota; Polycystinea; Collodaria; Collophidiidae. The record is from RNAcentral.